Molecule: long non-coding RNA, 275 nt
Filed under: Lathyrus oleraceus (garden pea)
Lineage: Eukaryota; Viridiplantae; Streptophyta; Magnoliopsida; Fabales; Fabaceae
Description: Pisum sativum (pea) long non-coding RNA (PSAT_LNC033099)
Source: RNAcentral
UAUAGAAAUGUCUAAGUAUAAUUAUAGAAGAAUGUGCAUCAAAAUGCACUGAUCAAAUUCCCCCACACUUGAACUUUUGCACUCCGAGCAAAAUUACAAUUUCAAAACAAAAGGAAAGAAAACAGAGCAUGCACUUCCAACUGAUCAAAUUCCCCCACACUUGAACUUUUGCACUCCGAGCAAAAUUACAAUUUCAAAACAAAAGGAAAGAAAACAGAGCAUGCACUUCCAAAAGUUUUCAAGAUACAAGGUAUAAGCAUAAUUCUAAGUAUAAG